AACAGGUAUACAUAAAAUGAAAUCUAAAAUCCAGAUGAAUGUUUUGUAAGUCUCACAUUUCCUGUCUCACUCCAGCACCAAGCAGAUUUCCAAUUUACAUUUUGUCAGUUGUUCCAGGUUGUAAAUAUAACUGCCUACAUUAGGCUGUCCUUAUGUUCUCCCCACUUUGAAGUGCCCAGCUGGUAAUCAGAGACAUGCCAUACAUAAAUGGCCAAAAGAAUCUUGCUUGAAUGCAUUCAGAUGCACAUGUGUUCAGAAGAGAGGAAACCUGAGACAAUACCAGAGAGUGGAGUCGCAUGUAGGUGUUGAACUUUUCCAUCGUGUUCUGGAGAGUCCACAGAUUAGGAGCAAGAGCCCCUGUAAAAUGAGUGAAGGAGAAAUCAGGCUUUAUAGGGGAUUUUUCAUGAAGUUUAAGGCUUUGACUGAGACCAACAGCAGGCUUUUUUAGAUACUGGCGCACAUUUUAGAGGUAAAUGUGGUAUUUCUUACUGGGUGGUGGGGGCUGAUUUUGGCUCUGAAUAGACAAGAGAAUCCUGUUCAGAACCUGGAAUAAAGGGGAAAAGGCAAUGAUGUGCUUAGAAUUUGAGACAUCUUCUGGAAAGCUAGACUUGGGGCCUUUGGAGAAGGCAGCCUUGGUAUUGAGAAGUCUAUGAUUGGUGAGAUUUUAGGUUUUUCCGAUUAAACAAAAACCUUAAAAAGUUAUGAAACUUAACUUGUCAAAAUGGGAUCAACUAAAAGUUUUUCUGCUCUCCCCAGGCUGAUUGUUUAGGGAAACACUGAAGCUGUGCUAAUUAAGAACAGGUACCUCAGUGACUGAGCCCCCUUGGGAAAGUUGGAGGCAGGAUGGAAGGAGAGAGAGACAGAGACCCUCAGCUCCCACAGCACUGUCACUUCUGGAAUUUUUCAUAAGCAUCUCCCUGAGAUCAGUUUCCUUCUUCACCAUGAAUGGAGACAGCAGCAAGUUGCUCCAGCCCCUGGGCAGAUGGAGUUAUCCUUGGCUGAGCUCUGGAGAGCAUUAGAGAUGGCAGUGAAGCUUCUCCAUAAGAAAAUGCAUUCCAUGGAGGAGGAAGGAAAUGGAGA
Molecule: long non-coding RNA, 1080 nt
Filed under: Equus asinus (donkey)
Lineage: Eukaryota; Metazoa; Chordata; Mammalia; Perissodactyla; Equidae
Description: lncRNA (ENSEASG00005037799.1)
Source: RNAcentral